This 657-nucleotide ribosomal RNA is filed under the name Nematoda environmental sample. Its description in RNAcentral is "LSU rRNA". It matches the Rfam family "Eukaryotic large subunit ribosomal RNA", at positions 646 to 1283 of the family's 3401-position model. Lineage: Eukaryota; Metazoa; Nematoda. The record is from RNAcentral.
GACCCGUCUUGAAACACGGACCAAGGAGUCUAACAUGUGCGCAAGUCAUUGGGUGGUAAACCCACAGGCGAAAUGAAAGUAAAAGUCCGCAUUGGUGGACUUAGGUGAGAUCCCGCAAGGGCGCAUCACCGCCUCGUCUUAUCUACUUUGUUAGAGGGGCGACGGAAGAGCGCACAUGUUGGGACCCGAAAGAUGGUGAACUAUGCCUGAGCAGGAUGAAGUCAGAGGAAACUCUGAUGGAGGUCCGUAGCGGUUCUGACGUGCAAAUCGAUCGUCAGACUUGGGUAUAGGGGCGAAAGACUAAUCGAACCAUCUAGUAGCUGGUUCCCUCCGAAGUUUCCCUCAGGAUAGCUGGCGCAUAGAGUGAAACAGUUUUAUCCGGUAAAGCGAAUGAUUAGAGGCCUUGGGGACGAAAUGAUCUCAACCUAUUCUCAAACUUUAAAUGGGUAAGAAGUCUCCCUUGCUUGAUUGAAGGAGAGACAUUGAAUGAAUGUGCCAAGUGGGCCAUUUUUGGUAAGCAGAACUGGCGCUGUGGGAUGAACCAAACGCUGGGUUAAAGUGCCAAAGCUAGACGCUCAUGAGACCCCAGGAAAGGUGUUGGUUGAUAUAGACAGCAGGACGGUGGCCAUGGAAGUCGGAAUCCGCUAAGGAGUGUGU